This 253-nucleotide ribosomal RNA is filed under the name uncultured bacterium. RNAcentral's name for it is "partial 16S ribosomal RNA". It matches the Rfam family "Bacterial small subunit ribosomal RNA", at positions 524 to 776 of the family's 1533-position model. The record is from RNAcentral.
UACGUAGGGCCCAAGCGUUAUCCGGAAUUACUGGGCGUAAAGCGUCUGUAGGUGGCGCAUUAAGUCGGAUAUGAAAUCUUUCCGCUCAACGGAAAGACUGUGUUCGAUACUGAUGUGCUUGAGGUUUGGAGAGGUUAGCGGAAUUUCCGGUGUAGCAGUGAAAUGCGUAGAUAUCGGAAGGAACACCAAUGGCGAAGGCAGCUAACUGGCCAACACCUGACACUGAGAGACGAAAGCGUGGGGAGCGAACGGG